Molecule: ribosomal RNA, 303 nt
Filed under: uncultured bacterium
Lineage: Bacteria
Description: partial 16S ribosomal RNA
Rfam family: Bacterial small subunit ribosomal RNA
Source: RNAcentral
AGCAGUCGCGCGGGAAAACGAAGGGGGCUAGCGUUGUUCGGAAUUACUGGGCGUAAAGCGCGUGUAGGCGGGUCCUUAAGUCAGAGGUGAAAUGCCAAGGCUCAACCUUGGAACUGCCUUUGAUACUGGGGAUCUUGGGUCCGGAAGAGGUAAGUGGAACUGCGAGUGUAGAGGUGAAAUUCGUAGAUAUUCGCAAGAACACCAGUGGCGAAGGCGGCUUACUGGUCCGGAACUGACGCUGAGACGCGAAAGCGUGGGGAGCAAACAGGAUUAGAGACCCGAGUAGUCCCUGUCUCUUAUACA